AGAGUUUGAUCCUGGCUCAGGAUGAACGCUAGCUACAGGCUUAACACAUGCAAGUCGAGGGGCAGCAUGGACCCAGUUUUGCUGGGUUUGAUGGCGACCGGCGCACGGGUGAGUAACGCGUAUCCAACCUGCCCUUUACUCCGGGAUAGUCUCCUGAAAGGGAGUUUAAUACCGGAUGUGUUUGUCUUUCCGCAUGGGAGCGACAAAUAAAGAUUGAUUGGUAAAGGAUGGGGAUGCGUCCCAUUAGCUUGUUGGCGGGGUAACGGCCCACCAAGGCGACGAUGGGUAGGGGUUCUGAGAGGAAGGUCCCCCACAUUGGAACUGAGACACGGUCCAAACUCCUACGGGAGGCAGCAGUGAGGAAUAUUGGUCAAUGGGCGGGAGCCUGAACCAGCCAAGUAGCGUGAAGGAUGACGGCCCUACGGGUUGUAAACUUCUUUUAUAAGGGAAUAAAGUUCGCCACGUGUGGUGUUUUGUAUGUACCUUAUGAAUAAGCAUCGGCUAAUUCCGUGCCAGCAGCCGCGGUAAUACGGAAGAUGCGAGCGUUAUCCGGAUUUAUUGGGUUUAAAGGGAGCGUAGGCGGGCUUUUAAGUCAGCGGUCAAAGUUUGCCACGGCUCAACCGUGGCCAGCCGUUGAAACUGCAAGCCUUGAGUCUGCACAGGGCACAUGGAAUUCGUGGUGUAGCGGUGAAAUGCUUAGAUAUCACGAAGAACUCCGAUCGCGAAGGCAUUGUGCCGGGGCAUAACUGACGCUGAGGCUCGAAAGUGCGGGUAUCAAACAGGAUUAGAUACCCUGGUAGUCCGCACGGUAAACGAUGAAUGCUCGCUAUGGGCGAUACAAUGUCCGUGGCCAAGCGAAAGCGUUAAGC
This 869-nucleotide ribosomal RNA is filed under the name human gut metagenome. Its description in RNAcentral is "bacterial SSU rRNA". It matches the Rfam family "Bacterial small subunit ribosomal RNA", at positions 8 to 865 of the family's 1533-position model. The record is from RNAcentral.